Molecule: ribosomal RNA, 263 nt
Filed under: uncultured Staphylococcus sp.
Lineage: Bacteria; Bacillati; Bacillota; Bacilli; Caryophanales; Staphylococcaceae
Description: partial 16S ribosomal RNA
Rfam family: Bacterial small subunit ribosomal RNA
Source: RNAcentral
CGGACGGGUGAGUAACACGUGGAUAGCCUACCUAUAAGACUGGGAUAACUUCGGGAAACCGGAGCUAAUACCGGAUAAUAUAUUGAACCGCAUGGUUCAAUAGUGAAAGACGGUUUUGCUGUCACUUAUAGAUGGAUCCGCGCCGCAUUAGCUAGUUGGUAAGGUAACGGCUUACCAAGGCAACGAUGCGUAGCCGACCUGAGAGGGUGAUCGGCCACACUGGAACUGAGACACGGUCCAGACUCCUACGGGAGGCAGCAGCC